AGUGAACGCUGGCGGUAGGCCUAACACAUGCAAGUCGAACGGCAGCACAGUAAGAGCUUGCUCUUACGGGUGGCGAGUGGCGGACGGGUGAGGAAUACAUCGGAAUCUACUUUUUCGUGGGGGAUAACGUAGGGAAACUUACGCUAAUACCGCAUACGACCUACGGGUGAAAGCAGGGGAUCUUCGGACCUUGCGCGAUUGAAUGAGCCGAUGUCGGAUUAGCUAGUUGGCGGGGUAAAGGCCCACCAAGGCGACGACCCGUAGCUGGUCUGAGAGGAUGAUCAGCCACACUGGACUGAGACACGGUCCAGACUCCUACGGGAGGCAGCAGUGGGGAAUAUUGGACAAUGGGCGCAAGCCUGAUCCAGCCAUACCGCGUGGGUGAAGAAGGCCUUCGGGUUGUAAAGCCCUUUUGUUGGGAAAGAAAAGCAGCAGGUUAAUACCCCGCUGUUCUGACGGUACCCAAAGAAUAAGCACCGGCUAACUUCGUG
This 491-nucleotide ribosomal RNA is filed under the name uncultured bacterium. RNAcentral describes it as "partial 16S ribosomal RNA". It matches the Rfam family "Bacterial small subunit ribosomal RNA", at positions 29 to 507 of the family's 1533-position model. The record is from RNAcentral.